AGUGAGUGAUGUUUCGGACAAUUUUCGACGCCAAUGCCGGAGAGGGUUUGGGCCAGCCAACUCCUGAUUCCUCAGAGAAGGGAGAGCCGGGGUUCCUUUGGAGGUCAUGGGCUUGUUGCUCGGAAGCUUCCCUGACGAAUACACAACUCAUGUUGUGGACGUCGUUGCGAUGCCGCAGCGUGGUACUGGUGUCAGUGUCGAGGCCAUAGAUCAUGUCUUCCAGACUGAUGUGCUCGAUAUGCUUAAGCAAACUCAACGACAUGAGAUGGUCGUAGGCUGGUACCAUUCGCAUCCUGGAUUUGGCUGUUGGUUAUGUGGCGCAGGGAUUUGAAGCCUUAAAUUGACGUGCUGUGGCUGUGGUGGUGACCCCAUUCAGAGUGUCAAGGGUAAGGUGGUUAUCGACGCUUUCCGCCUUAUUAACCCAAAUACGUGAUGCUUGGCCAAGAACCACAUCCAAUCUUGGCCAUCUUAACAAACCAUCCUGUCAAGCAUUGAUCCAUGGGUUAAACCGGAAUUAUUACUCCCUAGCAGUAAAUUUCAGGAUGAAUGGACUUGAGGAGAAAAUGUUGCUUAGCCUUCAUAAGAAGAAAUGGACUGAUGGGCUGACGAUGAGGCAAUUUGAUGCUCAUUCAAAAACAAACGAGCAGACUC
Prunus dulcis (almond) is the source of this 651-nucleotide long non-coding RNA. RefSeq lists it as uncharacterized. The transcript is spliced from 5 exons. Lineage: Eukaryota; Viridiplantae; Streptophyta; Magnoliopsida; Rosales; Rosaceae. The record is from RefSeq and is a predicted model, not a curated record.